This 282-nucleotide ribosomal RNA is filed under the name uncultured Staphylococcus sp. Its description in RNAcentral is "partial 16S ribosomal RNA". It matches the Rfam family "Bacterial small subunit ribosomal RNA", at positions 82 to 355 of the family's 1533-position model. The record is from RNAcentral. Lineage: Bacteria; Bacillati; Bacillota; Bacilli; Caryophanales; Staphylococcaceae.
UCCUUUGACGUUAGCGGCGGACGGGUGAGUAACACGUGGGGUAAACCUACCUAUAAGACUGGGAUAACUUCGGGAAACCGGAGCUAAUACCGGAUAAUAUUUCGAACCGCAUGGUUCGAUAGUGAAAGGNGGUUUUGCUAUCACUUAUAGAUGGACCCGCGCCGUAUUAGCUAGUUGGUAAGGUAACGGCUUACCAAGGCGACGAUACGUAGCCGACCUGAGAGGGUGAUCGGCCACACUGGAACUGAGACACGGUCCAGACUCCUACGGGAGGCAGCAGUU